This 254-nucleotide ribosomal RNA is filed under the name uncultured bacterium. RNAcentral describes it as "partial 16S ribosomal RNA". It matches the Rfam family "Bacterial small subunit ribosomal RNA", at positions 524 to 777 of the family's 1533-position model. The record is from RNAcentral.
UACGAGUGCUCCAAGCGUUAUCCGGAAUUACUGGGCGUAAAGGGUGUGUAGGCGGUUUUGUUAGUCAGUUGUUAAAACCCCAGGCUUAACCUGGGAGGUGCAAUUGAAACGGCAAAUCUAGAGGAUGCGAAAGGUGAACAGAACUCAUAGUGUAGGGGUGAAAUCCGUUGAUAUUAUGGGGAAUACCAAAUGCGAAGGCAGUUCACUGGCGCACUCCUGACGCUGAAACACGAAAGCGUAGGUAGCGAAAUGGG